Molecule: transfer RNA, 76 nt
Filed under: Alphaproteobacteria bacterium
Lineage: Bacteria; Pseudomonadati; Pseudomonadota; Alphaproteobacteria
Description: tRNA-Ala
Rfam family: tRNA
About the family: Transfer RNA (tRNA) molecules are approximately 80 nucleotides in length.
Source: RNAcentral
GGGGCCGUAGCUCAGCUGGGAGAGCGCGUGGCUGGCAGUCAUGAGGUCAGGGGUUCGAACCCCCUCGGCUCCACCA